GUGCCAGCAGCCGCGGUAAUACGUAGGGUGCAAGCGUUAAUCGGAAUUACUGGGCGUAAAGCGUACGCAGGCGGCUUUGCAAGACAGGUGUGAAAUCCCCGGGCCUAACCUGGGAACUGCAUUUGUGACUGCAUGGCUAGAGUCUGUCAGAGGGGGGUGGAAUUCCACGUGUAGCAGUGAAAUGCGUAGAGAUGUGGAAGAACACCGAUGGCGAAGGCAGCCCCCUGGGAUGAGACUGACGCUCAUGUACGAAAGCGUGGGGAGCAAACAGGAUUAGAUACCCCAGUAGUCC
This 292-nucleotide ribosomal RNA is filed under the name uncultured bacterium. RNAcentral's name for it is "partial 16S ribosomal RNA". It matches the Rfam family "Bacterial small subunit ribosomal RNA", at positions 505 to 796 of the family's 1533-position model. The record is from RNAcentral.